UUUUAAAUAUUUUAGAGGAAUUUAUUCUGGUAAAGGAUUUGACACCAAAAAUCUUACUUUUAUUUGUAUUAAAACAGUUUACAUACCUCUAUUUUAGAAUAUUUACGAUAUAUUCUAAUAAUACUAUUAUCUAUAGUAAUUUUUUAGGUAAAGGUGUAGCUUAUAUAAAAGAAGUGAAAUAAACUUAUAAUAAUUUUAAUUAUUUUAACAAAAUUUAAAUGUAAAUAAUAAUUUAGUAAAAUUUAAAAGUAAAAUUAGUAUAUUUAGCUGAUUUGAAUUAGAUUUUAUAAGUGUACAUAUUGCCCGUCACUCUCUUAUUAGAGAUAAGUCGUAUCAUAGUAAGG
RNAcentral lists this ribosomal RNA (344 nucleotides) under Phytoseiulus macropilis. Its description in RNAcentral is "partial 12S ribosomal RNA". Lineage: Eukaryota; Metazoa; Arthropoda; Arachnida; Mesostigmata; Phytoseiidae. The record is from RNAcentral.